Molecule: transfer RNA, 70 nt
Filed under: Yunganastes pluvicanorus
Lineage: Eukaryota; Metazoa; Chordata; Amphibia; Anura; Strabomantidae
Description: tRNA-Val
Source: RNAcentral
CAGAGUAUAGCUUAAAUUAAAGCCCCCCGCUUACACCGAGUUGAUGUUCAAUAAAUCUGAACUACCCUGA